UCGAAAUCGGUAGACGCUACGGACUUAAAAUCCGUCGACUUUAGAAGUCGUGAGGGUUCAAGUCCCUCUAUCCCCA
Molecule: transfer RNA, 76 nt
Filed under: Agrostis stolonifera
Lineage: Eukaryota; Viridiplantae; Streptophyta; Magnoliopsida; Poales; Poaceae
Also listed under: 5 other names
Description: partial tRNA-Leu
Rfam family: tRNA
About the family: Transfer RNA (tRNA) molecules are approximately 80 nucleotides in length. Their secondary structure includes four short double-helical elements and three loops (D, anti-codon, and T loops).
Source: RNAcentral